AAACCACAGUCAACAUGAAUUCCAAGUGGUAACACUUAGUGUCCUGGGAUGGAGUGCUGAGAGAAAUCCGGAGGAUUCAGAGAAGAUGACCAAAAAGGACUACUUCACAGGGCUCCCAUGUGCUCAGCUUGCAAUUGGAUUCAGCCACCAGAGAUCCCUGGCAAGAGAAUAAAGAAAAAAUAUGUGGGCCACUGGCUUAGGAAGACUGCGUUUUCAGGGGAAAUGACCCAUGGGUGAGCGCUGUGGCACAGACUUAAAAGACUAUGACACUUUCUUUUGGCCUCCAUCAUUUCUGAUAAGAAAUUCACUGUCUUUCA
This 317-nucleotide long non-coding RNA is filed under the name Homo sapiens (human). Its description in RNAcentral is "HSALNT0328591". The record is from RNAcentral. Lineage: Eukaryota; Metazoa; Chordata; Mammalia; Primates; Hominidae.